CUUCAAGUUUGUAUUAAACUACAUUGUGUGUAAUUCCUUCUUGUUUUAUUGAUAACCAGAAUACUAAAGCUAAUUUAUUGCUGAUAAGAACCAGAAUACCAAAGCUAAUUUAUUGUAUUUUGAAUUAUAAUUAAGUUGUUGUUCUCCUAGCAAGGAAUGUAGAGAAAAUAGUUUAUCUUCUGUAUUCAUAUUCCCUGUACACAUAGUAGCCAUAUCUAUGAACUGUUCAUUUCCUGGACUGAAUGAAAAAAGGGAGAUGCUCUAUGUCUGGUAUAUUGAGAUCCUUGUCUUGUCAAUUCAAUAAUUAAAAAUACCUGGAAGCUGACUGAUAUGUGGGUGGGUUUGAGUAUUUGAUUCCAUAUUGAGGGGAACUUUUCUUUCUGUUCUUAGUUGAGCUGUUUGCUUCCUGCUUUGGGGAUCUGAGGGGCACGAGUCAUAAAACAAUCUAGUGCUUUCACUGUUUUAUUCAUGAAUUUUACAGGUUUCCUAAGUGAUCUGGAACAUACCUUUUGCACAGAGGGCUUUUAAAUACUGCAGUUAUUAUAGGCCAAUGAUAAUGUGAAUGUGGUUAUGCUAUAGAUCAAACCAUAUAGUGUAUGUGUGUGUAAAUAUAUAGAUACACAUAACCUUAUUUAUAGGUAACUUAAAAAUAACAAGAGGUAAUAUAGUGCUCUUUACAUAUUCUUGUAUCAUGCAGAAAAGCCUGGUUCACAUCAGACAUUUUGUCAUUUUCUGAGCAUACUUGAUUGUCAAUCUGUCAAUGUUUAUGAAGAUAGUAGAGAAGUCUCUUUUGGGUUUGUUCCCAAUACUUUGAAAUGGGCAAGUAUAAAGAAAGCUUGCAGUGGAUACAGGUGGUAAAAGAAUUAGUACAGAACUUGUCCCCAGGUUAAUUCAUAACAAAAUAACAUGAAGUUUGAAAUGGUAUCAGUAUCUGGAUAUUAAUUUUUUGAAGGGCUUGUUUUUAUGAAAGUAUGAACAAUGUAGUUGCUGUUUUUUUGGUGCCUCGUUUUCUUGUUUUAAGAAUGAAGUUCUUAAUGGUUGCUGUGUUCUUUGUUGUGUAAAGAACACGGGAAACCCCUGUGUAUUUUGGAGUUUAGUCAUCAGCUGAAGAGCCAACUCUGCAAUCCUAACUUAGGACUAUCCUAAUAUUUAAAUGUUAUAAAAUCCUUCUUAGUGCUGCUUAGAUUGCUUUUUUGAUCCCUUGAUUUUAUUUUUUUUGAUUCCCAGCAACCAAAAGUAGAUGUUUGUGGAACCCUUAUAAUCUUUGGACUUAUGAAAUAUAAACUUGUAAUGUCAUGCUCUUUCAUACUUGGACCCUGUUUGCAUUUACCCUUUGCUCUCAGCUGGCUGUAUGGAAUGGACUCCCUAGUUGUAAAUUGGCUUGUAUAUACUUGGUGACUUCAUCCGAUCAUUGUAAUGGGUGUGACUUUUUUUUUUGCUUUUGGGUAUGAGGACUCGAACUCAGGACCUUGUGCUUACCAGGUAGCUCAGUGGCACUGUGCAUGCCUGGCAAGCACAAGGUCUGGAGUUUGAUUCCGGUUUGGGGUGGAGGGGCAUGCUGUGAAAGCUGAGAGGCACCUCAGCAGUAAUUCCUUCCCCAACUUCCACAGGUCCCUUCUGUUUUCCAUUUAACAGCUGAUGACUGCAAGUGACAUCUUUGCUUAGACUCUUCUUCAGCAUUCAUUUAUUUUCCCUUACCUCACUUUAUGGAGAACUGUCAGAUUACUCUUAAAAAUAAGUUUUAUGGUAAUACUCCCUUUUUCUCCCUCGAACUAGAGUCCACCUCCUUGGGCUCAUACUGCUGCACUGGCAGUUGGCAUCCUUUCCUUUCUGCAUACUGUCUCAGCAGCCAGUCUCCCAGUGGGCACCUGCUUCAGUUGCUUUUAGUUCUACUUUUGCUGGUUGCAGAAGAUGCUUUGUAUUGUCCUGCCCAUUCUAAAGUCCUGCCUGACCAGCCUAUCCCUGGUAUGUUUUUCUGUUGACUGGUUAGUGUUCUUUUUUUCAUCUGAAGUAGAUUGUGAGAUGUAACAGUCUUCACCAUGCUGUUAGGGAGCCUGCUUAUCUUAAAAUACCUUGUAAUUGUAUCAAUUUGAUUCUUUUUGAAGAAUUUAAAUUUUAAAUCUUUUAAAUUCUUUCAGGGCAAAGAAAGGUUUUUAUUUUUAUUUUUUCCUUAAUAGUAGCUAAUGUAGGCUGUGCAUUUCAGAGUAUGUUCAAGUGGUACCUUUGACUUCAGGAAGUCAAACGGUGCUUAAAAAAAGUCAUGAUGGUGCUUAAACUUUUCUAAAGCCAGAGAAAGAAUGUUGGUUUUCAGAGGUUGGAAGGAAGACUAAUGAUUUGGCCUCGUUUUGGAGAUGGCUAAGUGAUUCAUGUAGUUUAUUCUAUAGUAGUGGAAGUAUUAACAGUGCUUACCAAAGUGCUCAAUAACCCAGAGAAACAUUAAAGAAAACUAUUAGUUUACAUAAUUAUAACUAGGCAAAAAAAAAAACCAGACCCAAAAACUUAAACAAGAAGGAAAGGAGUAAGCCAGGCAUGGUGUUGCACGCCUAUAAUCCCAGCAGUUGAGAGUCUGAGGCAGGAGGAUCAUCUGAGUUCAGGCCAACCUUGGCAACAUAGCGAGACCCUAAACAACAACAAAACAAAACAGAAAAAGGAUUAUAUUACAUUUCUACUGAAGGAGACUUUGUUAAGAGACCAUUUCUAUGGAAGUCAGUAGUAACCAUUUCCCCUGUAGGGUAGAAAAUUUAAGCAGAAAUUUUAUAGCAGAUUUUUUUUGUUUUUGUUUUUGCUUUGUUUGUUUGUUUGUUUUAGACAAAGUCUUGCUAUUAGUUCAGGCCUGCCUUGAAUUCACUGUGUAGCCCAGGCUGGCCUUGAACUCAUGGCAAUUCACCUGCCUCAGCCUCCCAAGUGCUGGGAUUAUGGGCAAGUGCCACUACUCCAGGCUAGCAGAUGUUGAUUUGUAGGUUGUGUGUGUGUGUGUGUGUGAUUGGAAUUAAAUGAAACAAUAAAAGUAACAUUUAGAAAUAAUCUUUUCACAUAAGUUCUGAGUAACUGAUGAAAGACAGUGCAGCAUGUGUUCUUCAUGAGCAGAUACACCAAUAAGCACAAUUUGGUAGAUCAUAUUUUUUUUGGUACCGGGGAUUGAACUCAGGACUUUCAGUUCUUGGGAGGCAGGCGUGGCACUGAGCUAAAUCUCUGUUUUUUUUUUUUGGUACCAGGGAUUGAACUCUGGUCCUUGCCCUUGCGAAGCAGGUGGCGAAACCACUGAGCUAAAUCCCUGGCCCCUGAGCUAAAUCUCUG
This 3297-nucleotide long non-coding RNA is filed under the name Heterocephalus glaber (naked mole-rat). RNAcentral describes it as "lncRNA (ENSHGLG00100037935.1)". The record is from RNAcentral. Lineage: Eukaryota; Metazoa; Chordata; Mammalia; Rodentia; Bathyergidae.